UAUAGUGAUGAAUAUAAUCACAAUUGUCACUACCUCUGAGGCACAUUUUAUUUUCGUUUUGUAUUGAUUGCAUCUAAGAACGGUGAUAUGAAG
Molecule: non-coding RNA, 93 nt
Organism: Brassica napus (rape)
Lineage: Eukaryota; Viridiplantae; Streptophyta; Magnoliopsida; Brassicales; Brassicaceae
Source: Rfam